This 744-nucleotide ribosomal RNA is filed under the name Staphylococcus sp. SMCC G905. RNAcentral describes it as "bacterial SSU rRNA". It matches the Rfam family "Bacterial small subunit ribosomal RNA", at positions 20 to 746 of the family's 1533-position model. Lineage: Bacteria; Bacillati; Bacillota; Bacilli; Caryophanales; Staphylococcaceae. The record is from RNAcentral.
UGGCUCAGGAUGAACGCUGGCGGCGUGCCUAAUACAUGCAAGUCGAGCGAACAGAUAAGGAGCUUGCUCCUUUGACGUUAGCGGCGGACGGGUGAGUAACACGUGGAUAACCUACCUAUAAGACUGGGAUAACUUCGGGAAACCGGAGCUAAUACCGGAUAACAUAUUGAACCGCAUGGUUCAAUAGUGAAAGGCGGCUUUGCUGUCACUUAUAGAUGGAUCCGCGCCGUAUUAGCUAGUUGGUAAGGUAACGGCUUACCAAGGCAACGAUACGUAGCCGACCUGAGAGGGUGAUCGGCCACACUGGAACUGAGACACGGUCCAGACUCCUACGGGAGGCAGCAGUAGGGAAUCUUCCGCAAUGGGCGAAAGCCUGACGGACCAACGCCGCGUGAGUGAUGAAGGUCUUCGGAUCGUAAAACUCUGUUAUCAGGGAAGAACAAAUGUGUAAGUAACUGUGCACAUCUUGACGGUACCUGAUCAGAAAGCCACGGCUAACUACGUGCCAGCAGCCGCGGUAAUACGUAGGUGGCAAGCGUUAUCCGGAAUUAUUGGGCGUAAAGCGCGCGUAGGCGGUUUUUUAAGUCUGAUGUGAAAGCCCACGGCUCAACCGUGGAGGGUCAUUGGAAACUGGAAAACUUGAGUGCAGAAGAGGAAAGUGGAAUUCCAUGUGUAGCGGUGAAAUGCGCAGAGAUAUGGAGGAACACCAGUGGCGAAGGCGACUUUCUGGUCUGUAACUGACGC